This is a long non-coding RNA of Gasterosteus aculeatus aculeatus (three-spined stickleback), 929 nucleotides long. Lineage: Eukaryota; Metazoa; Chordata; Actinopteri; Perciformes; Gasterosteidae. The record is from Ensembl.
CGCCUUCAGAACCUCGAUUCGCGGACAAGGACAAACUCCCCUUUGUCGCCAUGACGACACGAUACACAACUAAGCAUCUGCCACAUCUUAAAUUGACGACGUGCCGCGUUGCCCACAGUCUAAAAGAUUUACUGCCAGAAGCAAGCUGCUGCCCGUUGACACCUGAUGGAUCGCUACAGUGAGGAUGAAUAUAUUGCUGUGAUCAUUCAUCUUGCCAAAUGUGACACAUCAGCACAACAGAGCAUAACUCAAGGUUGAUAAAUAUCCUGGUAUCGCUGGCUGUUGGAUCACACUAUGAAGCCAUUAAUCGUGGCAGACCUGUGCCCUGCUGCUGCCCGUGGUGAAUGCAGAGCACCAGCGACGCUGGGCAGCAGAUGCAGUGGUCCGAGCUCACGACCCCUGAGAUGCCAUGCCUCUGGGUCAAAUAAGAAGUAGGCAUCACAGGAGGAGCUGCUCUGCACUAAACGCGUGGCUUUCUGUCCGCAGGGGGAACGCUCGGCCCUCUAACAUCGGUCUUUACCCGACGCUUUGGAGAACCAAGCAGCCGGAGGCUGUGGAGAGGAGCGAAGCAAACUACACCCAACUUCAGGGAAUAGGCAUUAUUCUAAGUGUCCUUUUUUGCAUUGUUUUCCAUUGCAUGAGCGGGAAAUGGCAGGGCACAAGCAGGUAGCCUGAAUGACUGAACAUAAAGAGCCUGCAGCCUGAUAUUACAUUAUAUUCAUACUUAAAAUGAUGAGAGGCUCAAAGCAGACCAGUGCACACCUGCCUUUUUUAUUAUGUGAUUUCAACCAAAAUGGAACAAGCCUCCAGAGCUGCUAAUUCCGAAAGCCUGACAGGUAGUGAUGCUCCAGUCAGGGCUCCUUGAUAUCGCACCGUGUUAUACGAGGCAAUCCACACAAAAAUAUGCUUUGAUUAAACCAGCGGACCGC